GACGAACCGUGCGAACGUUGUUCGGAAUCACUGGGCUUAAAGAGCGCGCAGGCGGUCGUUCAAGUCGCGUGUGAAAGCCCCCGGCUCAACUGGGGAGGGUCACGCGAUACUGAUCGACUCGAAGGCAGGAGGGGGUAGUGGAAUUCCCGGUGUAGUGGUGAAAUGCGUAGAUAUCGGGAGGAACACCAGUGGCGAAGGCGACUACCUGGCCUGUUCUUGACGCUGAGGCGCGAAAGCUAGGGGAGCGAACGGG
RNAcentral lists this ribosomal RNA (253 nucleotides) under uncultured bacterium. RNAcentral's name for it is "partial 16S ribosomal RNA". It matches the Rfam family "Bacterial small subunit ribosomal RNA", at positions 524 to 776 of the family's 1533-position model. The record is from RNAcentral.